CUGAGAGCUCCCAGAGGAGGAGAGGGCUGGCCCCGUGCGAGAGGGCACACCCACCCCAGGAGACUGACAGCGUGCAACACCAGCCGCCCAGCCUUUCGGGUCAGGAGGAGCAGCCCAGCACCUGGCCCCACGUCUGGCCCCACAUCCAGCGUUGCGGCCCCUCUGAGGAGUCCGAUGGGGCCCAUCAGGGGGUUCUGGUGAGGAGCGUUGGCGCCACACACCACGAAGGUGGGGGAGGGACCUAGGAUGAGGCAUCCGGGGAGCAGGCCGGGCCUCCAUGGCCAAGGAAGCGGCCUGAGGGGUCCAGGACAGGAGAGCGGCGUGGGCCUCCCUGUGGCAGGGGUGCAGGGCGGCAUGGGAAGGAGGGGGUGUGGGAAGGAGUCGGGGCUUCGGGCCUCCUGCAGCACCCAGGGAGGGUUCCAGCCUCGGGGGCAGCUGGUCCUGCAGCAGAGGGAGGCCGAGGCCGGGAGCUGCCGCCACCCCACCCCAGGAGCGCACAGUCAGGCUCUUUGGCACAUCUGCAAGCCCUGGUCCCUGUUCCAGGUCAGUGCUGGACCUUGAGCGUGUGACAUGAGGCUCAGAGGCACCCGUGACAGCAGCACAUCCCAGGUGUGCACCUGCCACCCAGGGAGCGUGCCAGCCUGCGGGCGGCUCAGCCAGGCCCCAGAGCGUCCUCCUGUCCCCCGUCAGAGCACACUGGAGAGGUCACAUUGUGAGCAGUUGGGCACGUACCAGACUGCACGUACCACCCGAUUAACAGAUGCUCCUCUCUCCUGGGUUUGCUCAGAGUGUUUUUGAAGAUCAAAGUUGGAGAGAACUGAUAUCUCCCCAAAUCCUUCCCUCCCCGCUCCCCAAGGAGACUUGUGCUCCACGUCACUGCACGCCGCCGUUCCUGGACCCCUGUCCACCCCGUUCUGUGCACCGACCCCGAAGCUCCGUCCUGGGGGCUCCGGGAGCCAGUGGAGGCCCAGGUGUGCAAGCAGCUCACUGGUUCCACUCAGGGGAGACUCGCGUGGCCACCGUGCUCCCUGGGCUCCCAGGCUUCCCCUGCCCUCUCUCCAUGGAAACGCCUCAGGUGGUGGACCACACUGUCCCCACCAGCCUGCGAGGCCUGGCAGUGGCAGGACCUGGGGCUGGACAGGCCUCAGACUCUAGACCCACUGACCAAGGGCAGAGGCAGCGUGGCACCUGUGCCCACCAGGGCCCACUGAGGUGCAUGCCUGGCUGGGGCCCCUGUUCUGGCCUCUCCCUCCUCCCUGCUCCCUGCUCCCUGCUCUGGGAUCGCCCACUGUGGGAAGCCAGCUGCCUGCUGCAGUUCCCAUGGACUCCCACAGAGAGCCGGUGAGGAGCCAGGCCCGCCAGCAGCCCGGAGGGUGUGGGGGUGCAGCCUCCGCUGGGGGCGCCGCCCCCCACCUGCCCGGGGACCCCAGCCAGGCAGCUCAGGAAGGAGCUUGGAUCCUAACCCACAAAAACCGUGAGGUGCUCAUCGAUUGCUGUGCUGAAAUUCCCUUAGUGUGAAAUUGACCAUCUUCACCACUUGAAAGUGACAUUCACUACAGUCAGCGUUGUCGACCACCUCCCAGGAAACCCGUCCCGUGAGAAGCCACUGCCACCCCACCUCUGCCCCCACCCCCAGGAAGACGCAGGUCAGGAGGCAGCGAGCAGACAGAUCUGGCUCCCUCCCUGGUCCCGCCACAGCAGGAGAGGAGCAGAGGAGCGGCUCCGUCGUGGUCCUCAGAGCUGAAACGGGGCAGCUAAAAUGACUCUUGCAACAGCUGCCCUCGCAGCAGGAGUCCAGGCUGGAGGUGGACGGGAAUGUUCUACGGCUGAACCCGCUGCUGGUCACACGGGGUCUUCAGGUGUGCCUCAGUGGUGAGCCCUGGGCUCCAUCCCCAGCGCAGCAGAAACAAACAAGACCCCCUCUCUGAGCUGCACGUGUGGGUGUUCAGCAGCACCAACCUUCACCCGCCACCCCUCCCCACCCUGCUCCCAAGCCAUGGCCCUCACCGACAUCUGGGGGUUCCUUACUGAUAUCUCCAAUUUCCCAGGAGAUAGUAAGUCCUGAAGCUGGAUGUGGGGGCCCCACCCUGCACCCUCCUACCAAGCAGCCCCCUCCCAAGUCGUUGAAGCUCAGGUCUCAACUUAGUCUUUAGCUUGUUUUUCCAAUUGGUUUAAUGCAAACACCUUCCCAAACCAAGAAAUAACAGUUGUGCCUAAAUAUAACCCAAAUAUAGGGGAUGCCCAGAAGAAUCCUCCCAAGGACUUCUGUGCAUCGUGACUGUAUAAAGCAGAUGUCAGUGGACAAAGGUGCAGGAUGCUUAUGAAAUCUGGGACAUUACGUUAGAAAUGCAACUCCCAGGGCCAUCUGCGUUUUGUUUUAUUUCCUGUAUGUUUACGGUGCUGAUUCAGUAGAGACGCAUUAUUGAAGUGGUGGGAUAACAGGAGAACUUGUGGUAGACACCGAUCAAGCCGUCUCCUUCUACUCCUGGGAAUACAGGGGACGCCAUUUCCCAGCCCCCCUUGCAGUUGAGACUGUCAUGUGACAGUCUGUUCAGUGGGAUCCGGGCUGUGACAGUGGACACCCUCCCCGCCUGGCCUGAGAAACUCCCAGCCAUCCCUACCUACCCGGACGCCAGGACUCACCCCAGACACUGAGGCCCGGGGGACGGUGGACCCCCACCACUGAAGGGGCCUGGGCCACCGCCAGCUGCCAAUUGAGAUUCGUGGAGAAAGAAAGCCUGGUGCAUGGCUUCAGGCCAGGGCGGUGGCGCAGGCGACCUCCUGGUCCACACCUCAGGCACGGAAGGUGCUUCCCGCUUCUCUCGAGUCCCACCACCUCUGUGUCCCCCACGUCAGGCACGGUCCCAACUCAGUUUCCUACGUUACCUCCUCUUCCUGGGCUUCUGAGCUUGAGAGCAUCCGACCCGCUCAGGACACCCAGGAUGGACGGCUGCUUUCCUCCUGUCAGACGUUCACAUCGCGAGCUGAUCCCAGGCGGUCUCACACCGCGGGCAGCAGACACUUCUGGACGUCUGAUUUCUGCUGUCGACUGAGCAACCUGGACGCCUGCCUUCCAGGGGGUCCUUGUGGGAGACGUGGCUCCGCAGGUGAACCGAAAGUCUUCAGGGCUCAGGAGGAAGAGGCUCCGAGCAGUCCCCUUCCUCACUGUGUCCUGUGGCGGCUCAGGGACCGGCCAGCUUUGUUCAUGUUUGAACUGUGCAGCCUCCGUCAAGACUGCGGGAUCUGCCAGGCACGGUGGCCCACGCCUGUCAUCCCAGCGGCUCGGGAGGCUGAGACAGGAGGAUGGCGAGGGCAAAGCCAGCCUCAGCAACAGCGAGGCGCUAAGCAACUCAGAGAGACCCUGUCUAAAUAAAAUUCAGAUGGGGCUGGGGUGUGGCUCAGUGGUCGAGGGCCCCUGGGUUCAGUCCCCAGGGCCAAAAAAUAAAAAAAGACUGUGGGCUCUGCAGCAGCCGUGUGGACACGUGAAAGGACAGGCUCUGCUCCAAGAGACGGCCCGUACUCAGCUGCGGGCAGCUGGAUUCCACCCCCAGGCCGAGGUCUGCGGCCAGGCUCACCUAACCUCUGAGAGCCUGGGGCUGGACAGGGGAGGGCUUGAGUGUUCAGCGCUGCUGGGUCCAGUCCCACCUGGAGGCCGACCUGCGAUGGCUCUGGGCGAGGGUUGCUAGCUUCUCCUUGGUGAAGAGGAGACUACAGGAGUCCCUGCCCUCCCCGAGUGCUGGGGAUGGCCAAGCUGGCCAGGACAGGCUGCCCAGUGGCUGCAUGCUAGUAGACGAGGGCUCUUGUCCCUCCGGAAGGGACGGGGACCUGCUCCUUCCAGCUGGGGAGGCAGGAGCCGGCCCUGGAGAGAAGCAGAGGUAAUUACCGAGGCAGAUCCCCUGGGGCAGGAGGGAAGGGACUGAGAGCCAGCAGAGGAAGCCAGGCAGGGAGGGUGGCCGGGGCCUCUGCAGCAGGAGGGACACGCAGACCAGUGGAGCAGGCUGUGUCCCUGGGCUCUGCCGUCCAGGCAGCAGGGAGCAGGUGGCUGUUAGCACUGUGUCCCCGUCCUUCACACCGCCGGGCGCACAGUAGGUGCUCCACAGUCACUGGAUGGACAGAUGGGAAGGAAGAAGGGACGGUUGCUGUCGCCCCCGACACUGAGCAGUCAAAGGGGCCGAGCCUGUUGUACAGGCGCAGAGGGCAGAGCGGGGCCACUCGGCCCAUCACAGCGGUGCCUGCAGCCAGCCGGCCACCUCCCCUGGCCUGCGGGAACUCACCUGGGCUGAGGUUCCUCAAUCCACAGGGAGCUGGGAGUGACCUCACCUCCCUGAAGCUUCCCCUGGGGGAAGCCCGGGCCCAGGUGGGGAGGACGGGUGCUCUGGGGCGCCCAGACGGGGACAUCGGUGUGGACGACAGGAAAUGCCCAGGCCAGGCCAGCACCUGCCCACCUGAGCUCAGGAUGUUUCCCCACUUUACAGCCGAGGAAGCCGAGGCUCGGGGAGGCCGAGCCAGCCCUGGCUCUAAGUGGCAUUCGAGACUGCCAGGGCCUGGUGGCAAAGCUGAAGGGGCCCAGGAGUGAGAAGCCAAGCUGCAGCCCAGAGGCCCAUGUCCGAGGACCGGCUCUGCACGACUCCCCGACUCCGGGAGGUGGGGGGGUGAGGGAGGCCAGGAGGAGCUGGCGGCCACCUGGAGGCCACCGCCAUGCUGAUCGGAACCGGAGGCAUACCCUGCGGGGCCAGGCAUGUCUGGUGGUGGCGAGCAGUGGGCAGGUGGCCCAGCAGUGGGCAGGUGGCCGAGCUGGCCCUGGACGAGCCUCGUCUCCCUCCUGCAGGGGACCAAUAGGAGGCCAGGGCUGAGGCCACUGCGAGAGGCAGGCGUGGGGAGGUGCUGGCCUUGGCCUGCGGGGGCACUCUCAUGUCCACCCCGAUUCAUGCUAACGAAGACUCAGUCCGACCAGAACUGGGUUCCGCCUGGCCCAGGACUGUUCAUGUAGUCACCCAACAGCUAUUUACUGGGCACCGUGAGGCUCAAUUCCACGUCAGCUCAGCUGGGUCACGGUGUCCAUGCACGGGGUCAUCACUCUCUGGGUACUCCGUGAGGGGUUUGGGAUGAGGUUGGAAUCCAAGUCUGCACACUUUGAGGACAGCCCACUGUCCUGUAAUGCGGGUGGCCUCCUCCAACCAGUGGAAGGCCUGAUCCAGGAAGGAGCUGCUCCAGCAGAGCCUUCAGACUGCAGCUGAGCACCGCUCUCCUGCUUCUAGCCCUCAGCCCACCCUGCCUCUCAGUCUCUGUCACCACCUGAGACCCUCAGUCUCUGUCACCA
Molecule: long non-coding RNA, 5320 nt
Organism: Ictidomys tridecemlineatus (thirteen-lined ground squirrel)
Lineage: Eukaryota; Metazoa; Chordata; Mammalia; Rodentia; Sciuridae
Source: RefSeq, a predicted model, not a curated record